GCUUGGCCCUAAACCUCAGUAGUUAGAUAACAAAACUACUCGCCAGAAUACUACGAGCUACAGCUUAAAACUCAAAGGACUUGACGGUGCUUUACACCCCCUAGAGGAGCCUGUUCCGUAAUCGAUAAACCCCGAUCCACCCCACCCUCUCUUGCUCAGCCUAUAUACCGCCAUCUUCAGCAAACCCUAAUGAAGGUCACAAAGUGAGCGCAAACGCCGUCACCGCGAGUACGUUAGGUCAAGGUGUAGCCUAUGAGAUGGUAAAAAAUGGGCUACAUUUUCUACCUCAGAAAAUUCCACGAAAACCCUUAUGAAAUUUAAGGGCCCAAGGAGGAUUUAGCAGUAAAUUAAGAAUAGAGUGCUUAAUUGAACCAGGCCAUAAAGCGCGCACACACCGCCCGUCGUUCUU
RNAcentral lists this ribosomal RNA (409 nucleotides) under Macaca mulatta (Rhesus monkey). Its description in RNAcentral is "partial 12S ribosomal RNA". It matches the Rfam family "Bacterial small subunit ribosomal RNA", at positions 794 to 1404 of the family's 1533-position model. The record is from RNAcentral. Lineage: Eukaryota; Metazoa; Chordata; Mammalia; Primates; Cercopithecidae.